This 45-nucleotide non-coding RNA is filed under the name Schistosoma mattheei. The record is from RNAcentral. Lineage: Eukaryota; Metazoa; Platyhelminthes; Trematoda; Strigeidida; Schistosomatidae.
AUUCAGCUGAUGAGUCCCGAAUAGGACGAAACGCGCGUCCUGGAU